Molecule: RNA transcript, 1191 nt
Organism: Zingiber officinale
Lineage: Eukaryota; Viridiplantae; Streptophyta; Magnoliopsida; Zingiberales; Zingiberaceae
Gene name: pre-mRNA-splicing factor SPF27 homolog
Exons: 8
Source: RefSeq, a predicted model, not a curated record
UUCGGAUCCCUUUUUCCAUGCCCUAUCCCUUCUACUGAGCGGGAGAGCAUGGCCACCAAAGAGAUCCUCAUGCUAGAGGCGGCGCCGGAUGCCGUCCGCGAAGCGUGGUCUGCCGGUCCCGAUGCGGAUGUCGUCGAUGCUUUGCCCUACAUCGACGAUGACUACGGCGAUCCCAGGGUAGCCGCAGAGGUCGACCGGCUCGUCGAGGAGGAAAUGCGGAGGGGCACCAAGAAGCCAGCUGACUUUCUGCGGGAACUCCCACCCCUCCCAAAAGUUAACUUUGAGGAUCACCCUAUGCUUGCUAGAGAAUAUGAACGUGUCAGAGCUGGCAAGCCUCCGGCAAUUCUGGAGAUGUCCCGCUAUGGAUUGGAACCUCCACCUGCAAACAAACGCAAUGAUGUUACUGCUUGGAGGCUGGCUUUACGGAAUGCACAAAGCCUUGUACAGCAUGAAGUUAUUAGGAUUGAAAAUCUGGAGUUGCUGGUGAAUCAUGGUGCUGAUGUCUGGAAGCUUCAGAACAAACGAACGGAAUCGUAUUUAUCCAGAUUAGAAGCUACAGCAAUGGAAUACGACAAAAUGAUAGAAGCAGUUAAUCGUGACAGAAAGUUUCAGCAGCAAAAUACUGGCGGUCAACUCAAUAUGCUGAAUGCACAGUGGAAGGAAUUAUGUCUUAAGAACAUAGAGAUCCAAUCUGCAUGUUCUGAUCUGCAGAAUGCUAUUGAUCAAAUGAAGGAAGAGGCUAAACAACUUGGCUUAGAUUUGGAUGCAAAAAUGGAAAGUUAGAUUGUAAUGCUGAUAGACUCAGGAGAGUGAAGGGUACGUUGUAUUUUUUUUGCCUUGUAACCAUGAGAAAUCCCAAGUUUCAGUAUGGGGUCAUUUAAUGCCAGGAUCUCAUAUUGCAGAGAUGGACUUCCAUCGAGGUGUACCAAUCUACUUAUUGUUUGGAUGACCAGAUUGUCGGGCAUUACUUCCCCAACUAGUUUUUUUUUUUUUUGGUAUAAGACAUUGAGCAUCUGGAGUCUGGACGGGACUUGAAAUAGCAGAAUGAACACGGCAUGCAUCGAUAGACAGGCUGAUGUAUCUAACUAGUUUUCUUUGAACCACUUAAUUUCAGCGAUCCUUGGGUAAAGGCAAAGGAUUUUGUAGGUUAAAGGCCUUGUGUAUUUGCUUUAAAAAAAAGUUGUGACCCUA